UACAGAGACUGCAAGCGUUAAUCGGAAUUACUGGGCGUAAAGCGUGCGCAGGCGGUUUUGUAAGCCAGAUGUGAAAUCCCCGGGCUUAACCUGGGAAUGGCAUUUGGGACUGCAAGGCUGGAGUUUGGCAGAGGAGACUGGAAUUCCUGGUGUAGCAGUGAAAUGCGUAGAUAUCAGGAGGAAUACCGAUGGCGAAGGCAGGUCUCUGGGCUAUAACUGACGCUCAUGCACGAAAGCGUGGGGAGCAAACAGG
This 253-nucleotide ribosomal RNA is filed under the name uncultured bacterium. Its description in RNAcentral is "partial 16S ribosomal RNA". It matches the Rfam family "Bacterial small subunit ribosomal RNA", at positions 524 to 776 of the family's 1533-position model. The record is from RNAcentral.